CAGUUCAGAUCGUAGGCUGCAACUCGCCUACGUGAAGUAGGAAUCGCUAGUAAUCGCAGGUCAGCAUACUGCGGUGAAUACGUUCCCGGGCCUUGUACACACCGCCCGUCACACCAUGGAAGUUGGCCAUGCCCGAAGUCGUUACUCCAACCCUUGUGGGGGAGGACGCCGAAGGUGGGGCUAAUGACUGGGGUGAAGUCGUAACAAGGUAGCCGUACCGGAAGGUGCGGCUGGAUCACCUCCCAACAGGGAGACAACAAAAUGUUUAAUAUUAUUAUUUUGUCACCUUAGGUCGAUCGGUAUCUCACGUUCUUAAUUUAUUAAGGAUUUCAUUUUCUAAGUUUUUCUAGGUCACACCCAUUAUUUUUCCUGGGCCAUUAGCUCAGGUGGUUAGAGCGCACCCCUGAUAAGGGUGAGGUCCCUGGUUCAAGUCCAGGAUGGCCCAUCUCUCUAUGUUGGGGGUAUAGCUCAGUUGGUAGAGCGCCUGCUUUGCAAGCAGGAUGUCAGCGGUUCGAGUCCGCUUACCUCCACUGAUCACCACCUCUUCCAUAAUCUAUAAAAAGGAAAAAUUUUGAGUUGUGAUCAAAUUCUGAACGAUUCUAGCUUCCUAAUGAAAUUAUUAAGAUGCUGGAUUCAUUGAAUUAAAUUCAUUGUUUUCAGAGAACCUUGACAACUGCAUAGAUUAUUUUUAAAGACAAUAAGCAUCUUAAUGAUGCAGAUUUAUUAUUUGUGCAAAUGCAUUAAUAACAAUUCUAUUAAGCUGAUGCUUCAAUUUUUGAAGUUAUUGGUCAAGCUACAAAGGGCUCACGGAGGAUACCUAGGCACACAGAGGCGAUGAAGGACGUGGUUACCUGCGAUAAGUCUC
Molecule: unclassified non-coding RNA, 865 nt
Filed under: uncultured bacterium
Lineage: Bacteria
Description: partial contains 16S ribosomal RNA, 16S-23S ribosomal RNA intergenic spacer
Rfam family: Bacterial small subunit ribosomal RNA (bases 1-246)
Source: RNAcentral